UACGUAGGGGGCUAGCGUUGUCCGGAAUCAUUGGGCGUAAAGCGCGUGUAGGCGGUCCGGUAAGUCCGCUGUGAAAGUCGGGGGCUCAACCCUCGGAUGCCGGUGGAUACUGUCGGGCUUGAGUACGGAAGAGGCGAGUGGAAUUCCUGGUGUAGCGGUGAAAUGCGCAGAUAUCAGGAGGAACACCAAUUGCGAAGGCAGCUCGCUGGGACGUUACUGACGCUCAUGUGCGAAAGCGUGGGGAGCAAACAGG
Molecule: ribosomal RNA, 253 nt
Filed under: uncultured bacterium
Lineage: Bacteria
Description: partial 16S ribosomal RNA
Rfam family: Bacterial small subunit ribosomal RNA
Source: RNAcentral